AUUGAACGCUGGCGGCAGGCCUAACACAUGCAAGUCGAGCGGUAGCACAGAGAGCUUGCUCUCGGGUGACGAGCGGCGGACGGGUGAGUAAUGUCUGGGAAACUGCCUGAUGGAGGGGGAUAACUACUGGAAACGGUAGCUAAUACCGCAUAACGUCGCAAGACCAAAGUGGGGGACCUUCGGGCCUCAUGCCAUCAGAUGUGCCCAGAUGGGAUUAGCUAGUAGGUGGGGUAAUGGCUCACCUAGGCGACGAUCCCUAGCUGGUCUGAGAGGAUGACCAGCCACACUGGAACUGAGACACGGUCCAGACUCCUACGGGAGGCAGCAGUGGGGAAUAUUGCACAAUGGGCGCAAGCCUGAUGCAGCCAUGCCGCGUGUGUGAAGAAGGCCUUCGGGUUGUAAAGCACUUUCAGCGGGGAGGAAGGCGGUGAGGUUAAUAACCUCAUCGAUUGACGUUACCCGCAGAAGAAGCACCGGCUAACUCCGUGCCAGCAGCCGCGGUAAUACGGAGGGUGCAAGCGUUAAUCGGAAUUACUGGGCGUAAAGCGCACGCAGGCGGUCUGUCAAGUCGGAUGUGAAAUCCCCGGGCUCAACCUGGGAACUGCAUUCGAAACUGGCAGGCUAGAGUCUUGUAGAGGGGGGUAGAAUUCCAGGUGUAGCGGUGAAAUGCGUAGAGAUCUGGAGGAAUACCGGUGGCGAAGGCGGCCCCCUGGACAAAGACUGACGCUCAGGUGCGAAAGCGUGGGGGAGCAAACAGGAUUAGAUACCCUGGUAGUCCACGCCGUAAACGAUGUCGAUUUGGAGGUUGUGCCCUUGAGGCGUGGCUUCCGGAGCUAACGCGUUAAAUCGACCGCCUGGGGAGUACGGCCGCAAGGUUAAAACUCAAAUGAAUUGACGGGGGCCCGCACAAGCGGUGGAGCAUGUGGUUUAAUUCGAUGCAACGCGAAGAACCUUACCUGGUCUUGACAUCCACAGAACUUAGCAGAGAUGCUUUGGUGCCUUCGGGAACUGUGAGACAGGUGCUGCAUGGCUGUCGUCAGCUCGUGUUGUGAAAUGUUGGGUUAAGUCCCGCAACGAGCGCAACCCUUAUCCUUUGUUGCCAGCGGUUAGGCCGGGAACUCAAAGGAGACUGCCAGUGAUAAACUGGAGGAAGGUGGGGAUGACGUCAAGUCAUCAUGGCCCUUACGACCAGGGCUACACACGUGCUACAAUGGCAUAUACAAAGAGAAGCGACCUCGCGAGAGCAAGCGGACCUCAUAAAGUAUGUCGUAGUCCGGAUUGGAGUCUGCAACUCGACUCCAUGAAGUCGGAAUCGCUAGUAAUCGUAGAUCAGAAUGCUACGGUGAAUACGUUCCCGGGCCUUGUACACACCGCCCGUCACACCAUGGGAGUGGGUUGCAAAAGAAGUAGGUAGCUUAACCUUCGGGAGGGCGCUUACCACUUUGUGAUUCAUGACUGGGGUGA
Molecule: ribosomal RNA, 1464 nt
Filed under: uncultured Klebsiella sp.
Lineage: Bacteria; Pseudomonadati; Pseudomonadota; Gammaproteobacteria; Enterobacterales; Enterobacteriaceae
Description: bacterial SSU rRNA
Rfam family: Bacterial small subunit ribosomal RNA
Source: RNAcentral